CGCACGGGUGAGUAACACGUAUCCAACCUGCCGUCUACUCUUGGCCAGCCUUCUGAAAGGAAGAUUAAUCCAGGAUGGCAUCAUGAGUUCACAUGUCCGCAUGAUUAAAGGUAUUUUCCGGUAGACGAUGGGGAUGCGUUCCAUUAGAUAGUAGGCGGGGUAACGGCCCACCAAGACUACGAUGGAUAGGGGUUCUGAGAGGAAGGUCCCCCACAUUGGAACUGAGACACGGUCCAA
Molecule: ribosomal RNA, 237 nt
Filed under: uncultured bacterium
Lineage: Bacteria
Description: partial 16S ribosomal RNA
Rfam family: Bacterial small subunit ribosomal RNA
Source: RNAcentral